Molecule: long non-coding RNA, 432 nt
Filed under: Anser brachyrhynchus (Pink-footed goose)
Lineage: Eukaryota; Metazoa; Chordata; Aves; Anseriformes; Anatidae
Description: lncRNA (ENSABRG00000017022.1)
Source: RNAcentral
AUGACUUCCUUUGGUUUUGCAGUGGAUCAGUGGACAGCGUGCAAAAGGAAGUUAGAAAAUACUCUUUACUUCUUAGCUGUUUCAAAUAAGGCAUUUGUUCAAAAUAACAGAGGGUGGAUGGACAAGUUCUGCAAAGUUCAGUCAUCCUCUGCCGUCACGGAGUGCCGCUGUCCUGGAAGUACACUGUCAAUGAGUGAGAUUUCUAGGAAAGUGACUGCUGGUCAUUCCCAAGUUGUUACUGCUGUCUGCGCAAGUCAAUACUGCUUUACUGAGUCAGAAGGGAGCACCAUUAGUAUGAAGAUAUUCCUGGAAACUGGCAGCGAGACCAAGGAACCUCUGAGCUUACUACUCAGUGGGGUGGUACACAUACUGACAACACUGAAAAGGCUGAGGUGCUUGAUGAUACUGCCAUGGAUUCUUCCAGGAACGUAA